CACCCUCCCCCCCCAAAGUCAUAUCAUUUCUUUUUUUUUAUUCCACCAUUUCUCUAUCUCUCCCUACCCUCCGUAUUUUACUCUUCCUCUUCAAUUCACAAACACAAACCCUCAAUCUCUUCUCUUGAACCACCAUAUCCAUAUCUCAAUCUCUCUCUCUCUCUCUCUCUCUCUCUCUCUCUCUCUCUCUCUCUCUCUCUCUCUCUCUCUCUAUAUAUAUAUAUAUAUAUAUAUAAAUCCCCCCCAUCAUAUACAUACAUGUAUAUAUUCUUUUCUUUUAUUUUUUCUCUUUAAACAGUAAAAAUAUUCUCUCUAUAUGUCUUUAUAUCAUUAACCUCCUCUCAUAGCCACUAGUUUGUGUUGUUUUAUCACUGCCAACGACAGUUUUAGUGCUGUAGAAAGUUCCUCCCUUUGAAGUGAUAACUGUGGAACUUAUAAAGAUUUCAGAGGGGACUUGGUUGAUCACUUGAGGUUGGAAGUUUUGAGGAUGGAUGGUUUUGUUACUUAGAGAUGGUUUUGAUUAUACAAAGAGUGUUCUUUUGGUCAUACUUUAGUUAUUUUACAGUUUUUGGUUGGAGGAUCUAUUUUGUAAAUAUUUAAGAAUUUAAUAGCUCUAGUUGAACUUGUAAAUGUGUUGGUGGGGAUCAUUGUAUUAUAGUUGUGAACAUUUUGAAGUUAUGUAUAUGAUACAUAUUGUAAAUAGGGAGAAAGUUAUAAUAAUAUAGACAGAACUCUGUCCGUUAAUUAUA
Carya illinoinensis is the source of this 749-nucleotide long non-coding RNA. RefSeq lists it as uncharacterized. The transcript has 2 exons. The record is from RefSeq and is a predicted model, not a curated record. NCBI's taxonomy places the organism in Eukaryota, Viridiplantae, Streptophyta, Magnoliopsida, Fagales, Juglandaceae.